CAAUGACAGUGCCCAGGGCUCUGAUGUGUCUCUCACAGCUUGUAAAGUGUGACAUAGCUGCCUUCUGUGGGACUGAGUGAUUCCAGAUGAGUUCAAGUCCCGUGCAACACAACCACUGUGACUUCAAGAGCUCCUGCCUGGAUUCUCUGUCUGCAACUGGCAUCAGAAUGUGUCUGUGUGUCUGUGUUCCUGUUAGUAUAAUGUGAGGAAAUGGGGAGACUGGCCCAUCCCCGAGCAUCAAGGCCCCUUCCCCACACUGACCUGUGUUCUCUUCUCUCAUCAACUUUCCUGUUCCAGCAGAGGCGGGGCUGGGAUGUCUCCAUCCCUGUCUUAAAUUUAUGUUGCACUGAGCCACAGCUUUUUACUUCCCUAUUGAAAAGAAGAAUCUGGAAAUGAAUUUGUUUGCAAACUUUUGCCAUAGGGUGUGGUCGAUGGGUUAAUUAAAGGACAAGAAGAUUCUUAAAAUUUGAGAGUGGAAAUAAAACCUGAAAAGCUUCCA
Molecule: long non-coding RNA, 499 nt
Organism: Galeopterus variegatus (Sunda flying lemur)
Lineage: Eukaryota; Metazoa; Chordata; Mammalia; Dermoptera; Cynocephalidae
Exons: 2
Source: RefSeq, a predicted model, not a curated record